RNA transcript from Bombus terrestris (buff-tailed bumblebee), 3938 nucleotides. It is a transcript of the gene named vacuolar protein sorting-associated protein 41 homolog, with no coding region annotated. The record is from RefSeq and is a predicted model, not a curated record. The transcript has 15 exons. NCBI's taxonomy places the organism in Eukaryota, Metazoa, Arthropoda, Insecta, Hymenoptera, Apidae.
UCUUUCAUGAUGUAAAUUAAUGUAAAGUGAAAAUAACGGAACGAAACUAGAAAAAAGAAAGUUUAUGAUAUAUAACUGUAUACGAAGAAAAGAUUUGACAUUUCGUGGUUACGAACAUUAGUAAGCUUCUUUAUAAACAAAAAAUUAAAGAAACGGGCAUGGAAAAUACCUCGAAUAAGGAAGAACAGAAUAAUCAGAAUGAUUCAGACUCUGAGGUAGACGAGGUAGAACCUAGACUCAAAUACGUCAGAGUACGAAAUGAUUUAGAACAUAUAUUACAAAAUGAUGCAGCUAGUUGCAUUGCAGUACAUCCUAAGUUCCUAUGUCUGGGUUCACACUGGGGUAUGAUACAUCUUUUAGAUCAUCAAGGAAAUAAUAUACAGUCUAAAAGUUUACAAGCACAUACAGUUGCUGUCAAUCAGAUUUCUAUAGACCAUAAUGGAGAUUUCAUUGCAUCCUGUAGUGAUGAUGGAAAAGUUUUUAUAUAUGGUCUUUAUAGCACAGAGAAUAAUCAUAACAUGAGCAUGGGUAGAUUAGUUAAAAGUAUAGCUAUAGAUCCAAAUUAUUAUAAAAGUUGUAGCGGAAGAAGAUUUAUUACAGGGGAUGAUAAAUUGGUUUUGUAUGAAAAAACAUUUUUAUCCAGAAUGAAACUAACUGUAUUGUGCGAUGCGGAAGGAGGAGUAAGAUCAAUUGCAUGGAUUGGACAUUUUGUGGCUUGGGCAUCUGAUACUGGUGUCAGAAUCUAUGAUUUAAAUGCCAAAUGUUCAUUAGGUCUCAUUAAGUGGACUAGAUCUACUGAUGCAUUACCAGAACACUACAGAUGUAAUCUUCGAUGGUCAGAUGAUAGAACAUUAUUAAUUGGUUGGGUUGACAUAGUACGAAUUUGUCAAAUUAGAAAGAGGUCGAUACAGGAAAUGGUUAACAGAGACCUACCGGAAUUUGUGGUAGAUCCAGUUUCAACUUUCCAAGUGGACUUUUACAUUUCCGGUAUUGCACCUUUAGAAAAUCAGUUAGUAUUACUAGGUUGCUUGAAAGAAUUGGAUGAAGAUGGAAAGAGUCAGAGGCCCACAUUACAUGUUGUUGAACCAAAGUAUCAUGAUUUUACUCUUGUGUGUGCAAAUUCACUUACACUUCGUGGUUAUAAAGAAUACAGUUGUAAUGAUUAUCAUUUAGACUGUUUGAAAGAGGAAAACAGGUUUUUUAUUGUCAGUCCAAAAGAUAUUGUUGUGGCCAGUUUAUAUGAUGCGGAUGACAGAAUUGAGUGGCUAUUGAGUCAUGGAAAAUUCGAACAAGCAUUAGAGGCAGUAACAUUAGAUAAUGGCAAAGAUUGUAAGAAGUACACUUUUGUUUAUGUUGGCCGUAUAUACUUAGAUCAUUUGUUAGCUUGUGGAAAAUAUGAUGAAGCAGGAAAACUCUGCUCUAAAAUUUUAGGAAAGGAUAAAAAAUUAUGGGAGGAAGAAGUAUAUAAAUUUGCAAGAGUUCACCAACUGAGGUCUAUUUCUUCUUAUCUCCCAAGAGGCGAUGUCACGUUAGAUCCAUUGAUUUACGAAAUGGUCCUUUAUGAAUAUUUGAAAAUGGAUCCUGAUGGAUUUCUUCAACUAGUCAAAGAAUGGUCUCCUAAAUUAUAUAAAGUUGCAGCUGUUGUAAAUGGUGUUUUGGAACAUCUUAUCGUUGAUAAUCAACGACAAAAUGUACUGUUAGAAGCUUUAGCUAUUCUAUAUAUUCAUGAUGAAAAAUAUGAUAAAGCGUUAGCCAUGUAUUUAAAAUUGAGACAUAAGGAUGUAUUUCAGCUUAUUAAAAAAUACCAUCUGUAUAAUACCGUUUACGACAUGAUAGAAGGUUUAAUGGAUCUAGAUGCGGAACGUGCUAUACAAUUUUUUUUAGAAAAGGAUGCAGUACCAUCUGAUAUCGUUGUACAAAAAUUGCAGCAUAAUCAUCGAUAUUUAUACUUGUAUUUAGAUGAAUUAAAUAAAAAAGAUACAGAAGAUAAAUAUCAUGGAUUGUUAGUCCAGCUUUAUGCUAAUUAUUCAAGAGAUAAAUUGUUACCUCUCCUACGCCGUUCUAAUAAUUAUCCAAUACAACAAGCACUAGAUAUCUGUAGUCAGCGAAAAUUUUAUCCAGAAAUGGUAUAUCUACUUGGUAGAAUUGGAAACACUUCUGAAGCUUUAGCACUUAUGACACGAGAAUUAAACGAUAUGCAGAGUGCGAUCGCAUUUUGCCAAGAACACGAUGACGAAGAACUGUGGAAUGAUUUGAUUAUUUAUUCUCUGGAUAAGCCCAAGGCUAUUACAUUUUUGUUGCAAAAAAUAGGCACAUAUGUCGAUCCUAGACUUAUGGUACAAAGAAUAGAACCAUCUUUAGAAAUUCCUGGUUUAAAGAAAGCUUUAGUUAAGAUGAUGUGUGACUACAAUCUCCAAGUGUCAGUACAAGAAGGAUGUAGAAAAAUGUUAUCCAAUGAUUAUUUCAAUUUACAUGAAAGACUAGUUAAAUGUUAUCAAAAAGGGAUAUUUAUAGAUGAUGACCAAAUGUGUGGAGCUUGCCAUAGGAAAAUAAUUGUAAGAGAACCAAGGAAUCUAGUUGUAUUUUAUUGUAAACAUUCGUUUCAUGAGGAUUGUCUACCAAAUUUCGAGGUAGUGGAAAAUUGUGUUAUAUGUAACUCGCAAAAAGAUAUAUCUCCUAGCAGAAAAUGAUACAGCUUUUGUAGUAUUUGAUCAAUAGUAGCACAUUUAGUACAUAUUUUGAAUACUUUAAGACAUCCUGGACAUAUCGAAUAAGACUGAAAAUUAAAGAAUUAUAUGAUUGUUUUAUAAAUAUAGUACCGAUAUAAAAUUGUAUUAUAAAUACAUAUAAAAUUUACUUUAUGAUCUCCACAAACUUGAGUAAUAGCUUGACAUUGAUCACAAGUUCUCUUUAAUUGUGGUAAGAUAUCAGGCAUAGAAUUUGUUGGAAUAGAUACAUCAAAUUUUUCUUGAUCAGGCAGUGGAAUUUUGAUGUUGCCGAACUAAUAAUUUUUGACCCACCGAAAUGACCAUCAAUAUACAUCGAAGAUUGCACAUGCACUAAAAAUUCUCGAGCCUUGGGCCCGAUGGAUUCUACCAGAAUACAAUAACCGCCUAUUGGUUCCGUCUCCUUCAUAGGUUCAUUUUUUAAAGAAAUUAUUAAGGUCUCCCGGAAACAUAAAUCUGCUUGAUUUACAUCGUCUGAAGUACAAAAAGAAAGAAGCAGAGUAUUUAGAACAGCAUAAUAUUUUUUUCAAAAAGAAUUUACAGUCUAAUAGUGAAAACGACAUAGCUUAUAAGUAUCAAAAAAAUUACAUUCCAGAUACAAUUCAUUUCACCAGCAGCGAAUAAAUUUACCAACUUGUACAUUAGAUAUUUUUCUAUAUUAUAUUUUAUUAUGUACCGUUUUUUAUGGACGUUUAUUUGUUUUAUUUAUGGAAUAUCUUUAUUCGUUGUUGGAGAAAUUUAGUUAGAGCGAAUUAUUUUAAUAGGAUAUGGGGUGCAAACAUUUUACUAUUGUGAAAAAUUUUUAACAGGUUCAUCAUUACUUGUUUUGUUUAAAACUGAUCGAUCGUAAAUUCAUAAUUUAUUGUACAUACUAACGUAUAGAUUACGAUUUCAGAAUGAAAUUAUUUUACAAUAAAACGUAGGGACAUUAUGAUUUAUGCUUUAAUAUGUACAGUAAGAAGUUUGUCAAAUUGUUACGAUAUAUAAUAUUCUGUAUUUUGUACAACAAGGUGCCAUCAUUGUAUAAAAUAAUUUUGGUGUGUGUUCUGUGGUAUUAAGAGAUUUUAUGAGUACGCGAUUUAUCCAUAAUAUCACAGCUAUACCUAAGAUAUUUCAUCUAGGUCUCCAUGUAAAUAUUGUGUCUAAGUUGCAGUGUAGAACAAUAAUAAUGUGUAAAGUAUAAUUAAUAUAUAAAUUUUUUACGUCGCUUAA